RNAcentral lists this ribosomal RNA (878 nucleotides) under Atriophallophorus winterbourni. RNAcentral's name for it is "partial 28S large subunit ribosomal RNA". It matches the Rfam family "Eukaryotic large subunit ribosomal RNA", at positions 212 to 777 of the family's 3401-position model. Lineage: Eukaryota; Metazoa; Platyhelminthes; Trematoda; Plagiorchiida; Microphallidae. The record is from RNAcentral.
GUGAUAGGCCCGUGGGGGUGGAGAUCAGGUAGGCCAGUGCCUUUAUGGAUAGACCUUGGAGUCGGGUUGUUUGUGAAUGCAGCCCAAAGUGGGUGGUAAACUCCAUCUAAGGCUAAAUACUUACACGAGUCCGAUAGCAAACAAGUACCGUGAGGGAAAGUUGAAAAGUACUUUGAAGAGAGAGUAAACAGUGCGUGAAGCCGAUCAGAGGUAAACGGGUGGAGUUGAACUGCGAGCUCUGUGAAUUCAGCUGGCGAGUUUGGUUGAGCUUGGUCAAAUCGGUCGUACACUGUAGUCUGUGUAGCAGCAGGCCUUUUCCCCUUUGGGGUUGAGGUGCGCGAUGCACUCAUCAUGUGAUGCGCGCUGCAGUGUUCGUCGGUCCGGCUCGCCAGUGCAUUUUUGCAGAGUGGUCACCACGACCGGCACUGCUGUCGUUCUGUUUUGGUUAAACCGGUUUCGCAUUGUCCUUGUGGCUCUGCUUGAUCGGGAUGGCAGGUAGCUCGUUGGUCAGCUUUCGCUGGUCUUCGAGUGUAAUCAGCUGACCUUGACAGUUCUGUGCAGUGUGUCGGGGACUGCGGCUUUAGUGCGUGUACGCGUGCUAAGUUGGCCGGCUUGCCUGGGAUCUGGUUAUUUUGUAGCCUGUGAAUGCAGGCCUAAUGAUGCCCCGGGUUUGUUCGGUUGACGGUUGCGUGUGUGGCACGAUUUCUGGGCCGAUAGUCUGUGGUGUAGUGGUAGACUAUCCACCUGACCCGUCUUGAAACACGGACCAAGGAGAGUAACAUGUGCGCGAGUCAUUGGGCGUUACGAAACCCAAAGGCGAAGUGAAAGUAAAGGUUUGGCUUGUCCAGACUGAGGUGAGAUCCUGCCGUUUCUCAUGC